Molecule: non-coding RNA, 867 nt
Organism: Oryctolagus cuniculus (rabbit)
Lineage: Eukaryota; Metazoa; Chordata; Mammalia; Lagomorpha; Leporidae
Source: RefSeq, a predicted model, not a curated record
UCCAAUCAGGUGUGGUAGCAUAAGUGCUACGUAAUCCCACGGAAUCUUGACAUCAUAGUAGUCAACCAGUUCCGUGGUGGAGAGGCCCAAGGAGGGGGCUCCAACACUCAGAACUCUGAAUGUAGCCUACGUCCAUUGUUCUCGUACCUUCUUCCAUCGCAGGAAGCUGCUCACCUAGAACCUCGGGACAUGGUUUUGAAUGGAUUGUUAAAUCAUUUGUUUGAUCCUUUUCCAAUUUUGAGGUCCCUGCAACCUAAGGGAUGUCUCCCUCUCCUCAUCUUCCUGAGAUAUAAACUCAAGUAUUCACUGACUGGAGAGGAGGUAGAGAAGAUAAUGUAGCAGUGCUGGGUCAGAAUCCACAGCAAGGUUCAAGCUGAUGCUGCAAGCCUUGCUGGAUUCAUGGAUAUGUGUGAGAUGGAGCAAACAUCAGCAUCAAGCCAACAGGUGAGCAUUUCUGCCUGAUCUUUGACACCAAGGGGCCAUCUUGCUGUUCACUACAUCACAGCAGAAGCCAUGUGGUGGCAGACAUGAGCUGGAGGUGGUAUACAAACUGAACACACACUGAAGAGAAUGCCCAGUACAAGCUGUGCAAGGUGAGGAGGAUGACUGUGGGUACAAAGGGAAUCCGACUCCUGAUGGCCCAUGAUGCUUGUGCCAUGUGCAACCCAGAUCCUCUCAUCAAGGUGAUCACGGGAUGGAUUACUGAUUUGGGGCCCCUAUCCAAUUUGACAUGAGGUAAUGAACCUCAGGUUUUCCUGCCCAGGGAUAAGAGCAUCUCUGACUUACAGUGGCUGCAGAGAGAUAAAGCAGUGUAGCAGCUAGAGAGACCAAGGGCUACUCUGCAGUAGGAUGAUUUUUUUUUGAAUU